ACGGAAUAGAUACCCAGGUAGUCCCAGCCGUAAACGAUGCUCGCUAGGUGUCAGGCAUGGCGCGACCGUGUCUGGUGCCGCAGGGAAGCCGUGAAGCGAGCCACCUGGGAAGUACGGCCGCAAGGCUGAAACUUAAAGGAAUUGGCGGGGGAGCACAACAACGGGUGGAGCCUGCGGUUUAAUUGGACUCAACGCCGGACAACUCACCGGGGGCGACAGCAAUAUGUAGGCCAGGCUGAAGACCUUGCCUGAAUCGCUGAGAGGAGGUGCAUGGCCGUCGCCAGUUCGUACUGUGAAGCAUCCUGUUAAGUCAGGCAACGAGCGAGACCCGUGCCCACUGUUACCAGCAUGUCCUCCGGGACGACGGGUACUCUGUGGGGACCGCCGAUGUUAAAUCGGAGGAAGGUGCGGGCCACGGUAGGUCAGUAUGCCCCGAAUCUCCCGGGCUACACGCGGGCUACAAUGGAUGGGACAAUGGGUCCCUCCCUGAAAACGGGCUGGUAAUCUCACAAACCCAUUCGUAGUUCGGAUCGAGGGCUGUAACUC
This 546-nucleotide ribosomal RNA is filed under the name uncultured bacterium. RNAcentral describes it as "bacterial SSU rRNA". It matches the Rfam family "Archaeal small subunit ribosomal RNA", at positions 723 to 1269 of the family's 1478-position model. The record is from RNAcentral.